CAAUAGCGUAUAUUAAAGUUGUUGCAGUUAAAAAGCUCGUAGUUGGAUUUCUGGGAGGGUGCCAAUGUCCGCCGAAGCGCGUGCGCAGCGGCGCCCUUCCAUCCUUCUGUUAACGCCUCUUGGCAUUCAUUUGCUGGUGGCGGGCUCAGAUAUUUUACCUUGAGAAAAUUAGAGUGUUUCAGGCAGGCUAGGCCGGAAUACAUUAGCAUGGAAUAAUGGAAUAGGACUACGGUCUCUUUGUUGGUUUGAGGGACUGCAGUAAUGAUUAAUAGGGAUAGUUGGGGGUAUUCGUAUUUCAUUGUCAGAGGUGAAAUUCUUGGAUUUCUGAAAGACGAACUACUGCGAAAGCAUUUACCAAGGAUGUUUUCAUUAAUCAAGAACGAAAGUUAGGGGAUCGAAGAUGAUUAGAUACCGU
Molecule: ribosomal RNA, 415 nt
Filed under: uncultured eukaryote
Lineage: Eukaryota
Description: SSU rRNA
Rfam family: Eukaryotic small subunit ribosomal RNA
Source: RNAcentral